This 469-nucleotide ribosomal RNA is filed under the name uncultured bacterium. Its description in RNAcentral is "partial 16S ribosomal RNA". It matches the Rfam family "Bacterial small subunit ribosomal RNA", at positions 28 to 507 of the family's 1533-position model. The record is from RNAcentral.
GACGAACGCUGGCGGCGUGCUUAACACAUGCAAGUCGAACGGUGAAGCGAGUGCUUGCACUCGUGGAUCAGUGGCGAACGGGUGAGUAACACGUGAGUAACCUGCCCAUCACUCUGGGAUAAGCACUGGAAACGGUGUCUAAUACUGGAUACGACCAACCCUUGCAUGGGGUGUUGGUGGAAAGAUUUAUCGGUGAUGGAUGGACUCGCGGCCUAUCAGCUUGUUGGCGGGGUAAUGGCCCACCAAGGCGACGACGGGUAGCCGGCCUGAGAGGGUGACCGGCCACCCUGGGACUGAGAGACGGCCCAGACUCGUACGGGAGGCAGCAGUGGGGAAUAUUGCACAAUGGGCGAAAGCCUGAUGCAGCGACGCCGCGUGAGGGAUGACGGCCUUCGGGUUGUAAACCUCUUUCAGCAGGGAAGAAGCGAAAGUGACGGUACCUGCAGAAGAAGCACCGGCUAACUACGUG